This 1360-nucleotide long non-coding RNA is filed under the name Panax ginseng (ginseng). RNAcentral's name for it is "long non-coding RNA (PGIN_LNC015222)". Lineage: Eukaryota; Viridiplantae; Streptophyta; Magnoliopsida; Apiales; Araliaceae. The record is from RNAcentral.
AGAAAAAAAAAUUCUAUAGUAUUGUGAGUAUUUUCUUGAGUAUAAGAAUACUUUGAGCGUAGUUUUUCUGCAAGAUUUUCUCAGAAUAAUAUCCGAUAUUUCAGUCAAAUCCAAGCUUCUACUAAGGUAAAGGAUAUUAUUUUAUUGCAAUACUCGGGAGAAAAAUAUUAUUUUCUUUCAUACUCCAUAUUAUGUAAACGAUAUUAUUUUAUCUCGUAUUCUUAAAUUUGAACUUACUAUGGUAAGUAUUGCUUCUAUAAUUCCUGAAAUGAUUAAAAAUUUUGUUUCAUCUAAUAUCAUUUCAUAGGAAUAUUGGUCUGAAUUUUUUAUCAAAUUUGGAACUUGUCAUUACUGGUACUGUUCAUGGGUACUGUUCACGGGUACUGUUCAUGGGUACUGUUCAUGGGUACUGUUCACGGGAACUGUUCACAAAAAAAAAAAAAAAAAAUUCUUCCAAAUUAUUUGUUGUGACCCUUAUUCCUAAAAGUUUAAUCCAUGUUUUGAUUUUUUAUCCUCCUUAGUCCUAAAUGGUGAUAUAAAUGAAUAUCUUUGGCCUGUAGUGCAAAGAUGAAUGAUUAACUAAUGAAUAUCUUUGGCCCGUAGUGCAAAGAUGAACAGGUGUUGAGAUGAACAUAACCAGCUGGUGAUACAAAUGAAUAUCUUUGGCCUGUAGUGCAAAGAUGAUUAAAGAUGUAUAUUGAUUGUUGUUACAAGGAUAAAAUAUUGAUGAUGGACUUUUAAACCUUAGAAGACAGUAGAAUUCUUUCUCUACGUGACUCUUCUAAUGGAUUGUUGUUCCGCUGCAUUUAUUGAUCUAAAACUUGUUGUCUAUUAUAUUUUAUCAGAUUUUUCCCUAUUGAAGACUAACGAUAAUUUGUUGUAUAUUAUCUUAGUCAUAAUAUUAUUUACUGGGCUAGUUGAGCUCACCCUUUCCUUUUUAUUUCAUUUUUCUUCUCAGGAGGUGAGAACAUAGCAAGAUCGAGUCGGGGUAUGGAGUGAUGGUUCUAGGAAGAUGUUUUAGCAGUCCUCUCUAUUUCUAUAAAAUAGUGUUUGAAUAAUUGUAAUGAGGACUUAUUUGCGUGUGGAUAUUGUCUAGAAGACAAUAUUUGUAUUUUAAACUCACAGUAUGUAUUAUCGUAUUUCACACGACAUUUGUAUUAUUGAAGUUGUAGUUUGCUUUAUGUACCAUGUAUUUGGCGACUCAAAAUGGGUGUUGUAUACCUAUUUUGGGGGCGUCACAGUAAUCUGAAAAAUUAAAAGUUCAAUGAUAUAAUCAGUAAAACGUGCCAACUACAGUGAGUAAUUCAUUAGUUUUGUAGAUAAAAAAUUAACGUCCGUUUAUUUUUUUAACGGAAUAACC